GAAAUUUUUAAUGGGCAGGGACUGGAGGACUGCGUUUGCUCAGGAUUGCCUGGGAAACCAGGAACGAAGCAACUACGUGAAGAUCCCUAGAAGAACAGGAUUCUGUCCUGCUUUCUGCUCCUCGGCUGGGGCGUGCUCAUGUGGUUCACCUGCGCCUCCUCCAGGGGCUUCUCCUAACUGUUAAGAUCUAACACCUUCCUCCACCGGACCCGGCCUUCUAGAACUGAAACUCCAGGCCAACCGGUAGCUUGAGAGUGCACCGCCUCCGCGGUGGACAGCCCUCUCCCCGGCUAGCCUAAAUAAACCCAAAACUGAGCAAGCUCAGCAGGCAGAUGCACCUUCACGGCGCAACGGACCGAUCUCCUCUGUGGCACUAGGGGCUCCCAGCCCCUGAGAAGUAACUCAACCCUUCUCUUGAACAACGCAGGAGGCCAGCAGCAUCUGCAGCACCUGGAAUUCCCUAAGAAGGCAAAGGAGGGGCGUGGGUUCAGGAUUACAAGUUAGCCGAGAUCAGCCUCAGCUACCGCUCCACUAACCCCAAAGGAAAGAAACUUCCCAGGCAUGACCUGCCGGUCAAACAAGACCUUCAGAUGAUUCCUAUGCCCUGUGAUAUGUAAGAAACACCGGACGUCUGCCCCGCGAUGCAAGGCUUGUUUCUCCAUGGAGAAUCAGGAAAUGUACCCCAGACACCCAGAGUUGAGAUGGAUACAGCUGAAAAGAGAUGUGGUAGGCCAGAAAGAACCAACAGCUACUGUUCAGAGCCAAGGAUGGAAAACAAGGGGUGUGGAUUUUACUCUGUCUUUUCUUGGAUGGUUCAUCUGCAUGAUGUCUUAUGAAUUUGGUAAUAAGGAAAAGUCCACAAACUGACUUCAAGAGAAAAGCUGUCCUAGGCCAACUCUUCUCACUUCAGGGCUGGAGUCACCAUGAAAGUGGCAGGGCACAUCAGAAGCAAGGAUUCCAGAACAGUCAAUAAUCAGGCAGCAGGUAGAGUGCUCCAAGCCAAGUGCGUAUGGUCUCUUCUUCCCUUGCAGUAGUGGGUUCUGCAUGCAAAGCUUUGAACACACCUGGCAGGUGCCUGGCACUGAGCCAACUGCUUUUGCCAUCCAGGACAUGGGAAUGGCUACAUCAAGACGGACUUUGCGCCCAGAUAACAGCUAGCUUUGAUUCUACUCGGCCAAUUGUCUGGAGUGUAGCACUGGGCAAAUUUACUCAACUUCCCUGAUAAUAAGCUUCCUCUUAUGUAAAUUGGGUUAUGAAAAUACCUACUUUAUUGACAGUUGAGAGAAUUAAAUAGUUUCUGGUGAGUGCCUGAUGUCCCAUAGAUUAAAAAAAGAAAGAAAGAAAAAGAAAACGAAAAGAAAAGAAAACAAUGAGGUUUUUUUUCUUCAUCUCUUUUUUGUGGUAGUCUGAAUAGGAAGGUGGGGUGUGAUUAAUCUUAUUUUACAUCUAAACCAUAGGUCAGAAUGCUGUGCCUUUAACUACAGGGCUUCGGCUCGGGGUCUUUCCCUUUCUGAAGAGAGUUCUAGUGGCUGUUUGUGCAGUGCUCACUGAGAACCAGUGCUUUCCAUGAGUGAAGGAACUAAAAUCCUCAAACCACCUUCUUGCUUUAUAGAUGAGAGCUCCGAGGUGCCAUGGGCUGGCAUAACUGAGCGAGGAGUACAUGGCAGAAUGAGAGCUGACAUGCCUAAUUCCAGCACCCACACUUCAUCAUGACUAACUGUCAAACGAAGACCUCCACCAGAGAACUCUUGUUUCAUGGCUUUCUCCCCUGACUAAGCUGUAAGGUCCCCAGGAUCAGGGACUGAAUCUUACUCUCCAGUGCAGGCCUGGUCCUCUAUGUAGGCUCAGGGAAGUAUUUAAGUGAAUAGGUGGUGCCAUCUUCUGCUUCACAGCACGUGGUCAGGCUCCCACCUCCCUAUGCUAAUGGGCAACAGAAAAGCACAAGGCUGUUGCUAGACUUCUGUGUUUCAGUGCAUGGGCUUAUGGCAAUUCGUCCAAGCUGAUGGGGCCUUUUGCUGAGACCAGUGCUAAACAACCAGGCUAUUAGGCACAUUUAUCACCUCUGUAGCGGCUUCUUCCCACAACCACUAGCCAUUAACUCUAAAUCUAGUGUGUGCCUGUAUUUCAGCUUCCUAGCUACCAUGAGCCUGGAUAGCUCUUUGGUCUGGACCAAUGAGAACCAAAGCCAGGGAGUUUUCAGCAAAGGGGAGCUUUUUCUACCAAUGACAAAAGCUGUGGGCAGUUGCACUACAGUAUCUGAAAAUAAGUCAGGCCUAGUGGCACACACCUUUAAUCCCAGCACUCCUCAGGAGACAGAGGCAGAGGCAGGUGGAUUUCUAGGAUCAGUCUGGUCUAUAUAUAGUAAGUCCCAUGACAGCCAGGACUAUAGAGAGAGUGUGUCUUGAAAGAACAAACAAAGAAACAAAGAAGAGCCAUCUCAAAGGAAAACAGAGGAGGGACCUGGAGAGAGGCAAGCCCUUGAUGACGCUGUUUGGUCUUAGAAUCCAGCCUGAAAUCCAACUGAGGUCUGGCUUUCUCGGCAACACAAACCAAACUCCUCCUUCUCGUCUAUCCAGUGGGAAAGGUCUUUCCCAUCUACCUUCUCUUCCAAGAACAAAGUUUUUCUUCUCUGGAAGUGUAAUUGCCUGGUAGCAGACUAUCCAUGGGGUGAGAGCCACCAUGGAGACAGAGUCCAGCUGGCCCUUCCUAGGAUACCGGCUCAUGACAGCACAUGCUCAAACACUACCAGCACAUAAUUACACACUUGCUACUGUUUGUAGUCGGGACUGUUUUUAUCUUCUUAGCACCUUGACUUGGCAAUAGACUCCAUUCCUCCCAUAAGGAAAGGUCAUGACCCUGACUGGGUUAAUCACAGGGCCAAACACCAUUGGCCACUGUUAUUGAUCCAAAAGGACACAAGCAUUGCAGUAGAAACCACAGACAGCACUUUCUUUGGGAUUUGCUAGGCCCAAACUGGGGUGCCAUUGGGAUGCAAUGGUAGAAGUCUGGAGCUAUAAUCUAUCAUGUCCCAAAAGUACAAGAGAAAAAAACAGUAAAUCUGAAGAUCUGCUUAUUGUCUGCUGAUGUCCAUUCUCCUUAAUAUCAGAAACUUCUUCCUAGUCCAGGUCACAGUGAGGCCCCAUCUAAACACGCACACACACCCGUCCCAAGACACUUGUGAACCUGCACUCCUAGGGGAGUGUUAUGGCUAGUCGUAGUUGUUAACUUGACUACCUCAGGAAUUAACUAAAACCUAAAUGUCUGGGCACAUCUGUGAGGGAUUUUUUUUUUCUUAAUUAAACUAUUUGUAGUGAUAAGACCCAUUUCUAAUAUGGAUCACUGAGGUGAGAAGAUCUACCUUUAAUCUAAGCCACACUUUCUGCUGGCAGCUUUUAUAAAGGACACGGAAACAAGGAGGCUUGCUCUCUUUUUGUCUGCUUGCUCUCACUCUCGCUGGCAAGUCCAUUCCUUCACUGGUAUUAGAGCCUACAUCUUUAGGAUUCCAGCAUAUACUGAAGACCAGCUGAGACAGCCAGCCUCACAGACUGGACAACUGCUGGAUUCUUGAACCUUCUGUUAGUAGACAGCCAUUUUUUAACUACCUGGACCAUAGGAGCUCCAGUUGAGCAAAUGCCUCCAUGAAAUCCAGCUGUAUGGUAUUUUCUCAUUUAGUGAUCAAGGGGGGAGGGCGGAGCCCAUUGUGGGUGGGGCCACCCCUGAGCUGGUGGUCCAGGGUUCUAUAAGAAAGCAGGCUGAGCAAGCCACGGGGAGAAAGCCAAUAAGCAGCACCCCUCCAUGGCCUCUGCAUCAGCUCCUGCCUCCAGGUUCCUGCCCUGAUUGAGUUCCUGUCCUGACUUCCUUUGUUGAUAAACAGCAAUAUGGAAGUGUAAGAUGAAUAAACCCUUUCCUCCCCAACUUGUUUUUUUGGUCAUGGUGUUUUCUAGCAGCAGCAGAAACCCUGACUAAAACAUCUAACAAAUGCCCAUCCAUAAAGACCACCAGAAGCAAUUUGCUUUCAAUUGCCAAAGCCUGCAGAAUACCUUCAGUUUUACCUCAAGGAAAUAGUAACUCUCCAGCCCUAAGUCAUAACACAGCUUGAAGGGAUCUUGAUCCUCUGUGUCUUCCACAAAAUAUCACAUUGGUUCAUUAUAUUGACAACAUCAUGCUGACUAGACCAAUAGACAGGAAGAAGCAACCAUUUUGGACUCGUUGGUAACACAUGAAAAAAUGACAAAUGACAAACAGAAAGCAUUCUGAAUUGGAUUAGAGUCAAGUGCACUCAGGUUUUCCUGCCAACCCCACCAAGCUGGACAUCAAGGAGGCCCCUGCUGGGUCUUGCCCUUCAGUGCUGAACUGUUUGGCCACUGUCUGAGAGAACUCAAUGGACCAAGCCCUUCACCUCUAAACCGAGGACUCUGAGCAGAACCAGUUAGGGGCACUGGCAAUGCCGCUUCCUCGGGCUGUGUCCACAGGAUGACUUAAAAAGCCUCUCAUGCAAAUGUGAGGCUGACCUCAAGUACAAAUAUUUUAGUCUGAAGCAUGGGAGUGUUAACAAAUUCCACACAGGACAAAUGCAUCUAGGCUAGAGAGCAAGGCUCACGGACACUCAUUUUUGGUGAAGUAAUCCUUGAGUCAAGGAAUGAGGACCUGACUAAGCCAUCCGCACUGAAGACCUAAACCUGGGAUUUUGCAGAAGCACAGUCUGCAGUGUAGGGUCCCCUCUUUAAUGAAUGAGCCUAAACCAGGAUGUUUUACGUCUUUUAUUAGCUACUAUAGGACAACUAAGGCCACCUUAAAACAACAGAUACCACUUAUUUUUACUGACUUUAUUUUUGUUGUUUUGAAGCAGGGUCUCAUGUAGCCCACCAGGCAAGUGUGAGCUCACUAUGUAGCUCCUAUUCCUCCUGCCUCUACCUCCCAGGUACGAGGAUGGGUAUACGUCACCACAGCCUGUCUCUUCCUCAUGUUCUAACCACCAAUAGGAACCUGGGCCUGAAAUCACACUUUCCCCAGGGCACAAGAAAUUGUGGUUAUUGGUCCCAUCUUAGCAGCAGGAAAGUGGCCUGUCAUCUGUGUGGACUGUGUAGCCUGGGGAUAGGACAGGGUUCUGAGCAGUACUUGGGUCAUGUGACUCCAUGCUGGGAGGGUGCUGUUGCUCUGUAGGCCCAAGCCAGGCAGGUUCCAACCAUCUGCAGAACCACAGGGCUAGAGUGUCAGGAACAGACCUUUCUGUCCUCCUCAGACGAUGGUAUGGCAACUGUUGACAGAUUAGGUGUGUAGGAUAUUUUGGCUGCAUAUGUCUUUACCACAUAUAUGUCUGGUGACCAUGGAAGCCAGAAACCCAUCAGAUCCUCUGGAACUGGAGUAAUAGAUGGUCGUAGGGCCAUGUGAGUGCUGGGAACUGAACCUGGGUCCUCUGGAAGAGCAACCAGCAUGCUUAACCACUGAGCCAUCUCUCUAGCCUUAUUAAAUUCUUAAAUGCUCAGAGCCAUGGAAAAUUGA
Molecule: long non-coding RNA, 5502 nt
Organism: Mus musculus (house mouse)
Lineage: Eukaryota; Metazoa; Chordata; Mammalia; Rodentia; Muridae
Product: predicted gene 15489
Exons: 2
Source: RefSeq, a predicted model, not a curated record